RNAcentral lists this ribosomal RNA (465 nucleotides) under uncultured bacterium. RNAcentral's name for it is "partial 16S ribosomal RNA". It matches the Rfam family "Bacterial small subunit ribosomal RNA", at positions 29 to 507 of the family's 1533-position model. The record is from RNAcentral.
ACGCACGCUGGCGGCGCGCCUAACACAUGCAAGUCGAACGAGCGAGAGAGAGCUUGCUUUCUUGAGCGAGUGGCGAACGGGUGAGUAACGCGUGAGGAACCUGCCUCAAAGAGGGGGACAACAGUUGGAAACGACUGCUAAUACCGCAUAAGCCCACGGUGCCGCAUGGCACAGAGGGAAAAGGAGCAAUCCGCUUUGAGAUGGCCUCGCGUCCGAUUAGCUAGUUGGUGAGGUAACGGCCCACCAAGGCGACGAUCGGUAGCCGGACUGAGAGGUUGAACGGCCACAUUGGGACUGAGACACGGCCCAGACUCCUACGGGAGGCAGCAGUGGGGAAUAUUGCACAAUGGGGGAAACCCUGAUGCAGCGACGCCGCGUGGAGGAAGAAGGUCUUCGGAUUGUAAACUCCUGUUGUUGGGGAAGAUAAUGACGGUACCCAACAAGGAAGUGACGGCUAACUACGUG